AUUGAACGCUGGCGGCGUGCUUAACACAUGCAAGUCGAGCGGUAACAGGCGUAGCAAUACGUGCUGACGAGCGGCGAACGGGUGCGUAAUACAUCGGAAUCUGCCUCGUAGUGGGGAAUAACCCGGCGAAAGCCGGGCUAAUGCCGCAUACGAUCCACGGAUGAAAGCGGGGGACCGUAAGGCCUCGCGCUAUGAGAUGAGCCGAUGUCGGAUUAGCUAGNGGUGAGGUAACGGCUCACCAAGGCGACGAUCCGUAGCUGGUCUGAGAGGACGGCCAGCCACACUGGGACUGAGACACGGCCCAGACUCCUACGGGAGGCAGCAGUGGGGAAUAUUGGACAAUGGGGAAACCCUGAUCCAGCGACGCCGCGUGUGUGAAGAAGGCCUGCGGGUUGUAAAGCACUUUCGGU
RNAcentral lists this ribosomal RNA (410 nucleotides) under uncultured bacterium. RNAcentral's name for it is "bacterial SSU rRNA". It matches the Rfam family "Bacterial small subunit ribosomal RNA", at positions 29 to 440 of the family's 1533-position model. The record is from RNAcentral.